CAGAUUUAGGGCAAAGUUAACACUUCAAAAAUAUCUCCAGUAAUUGAGUAAAUUGCUCAUCUGUCAAAUUGGCUCUUUGGCAAAUUACUCUGCUUGCACAUAUUAAUAGCCAAGCUUAGCCAACUUGAAAUAUGGAGAUUUACUGGAAAUCACAGUGAAGUGAAGAGAGAGGCAAGAGCAGAAUUGAAAUUCCCACCUGGCAGCAAAAGAGAGUUAUGCAGAGCCUAUCAGGACCCGUGUUCACACCAGCACUUAGUUUGGAGGAAGCACCUGGAGGAGAUGCAGAGUCCAGAUGUGCGCCCUCUGCCGGAAGCCUACUGCACCAGGACGUAGGCCUGGAGUGGCCCUUAACGCAUUUGGAAAUCAGUCUUCACUAAAAAAACUUCCUCCAAAAUGUUCUUUAACAGCCCUUUAAAAGCCAUUGUUUCAAAACAGUCCAAGGUGGUGAACAAUUAAUAUUUUCGAUUUACAUGAAGACUCUGGAGUAGGAAUUACCUGAGUUGGAAACUCAGUUCUACUCUAUUGGUAUCAGGUUGCAUUCUGUAUCAUCAUUAAAAUUUUCAGAAAAACUCUC
This 574-nucleotide long non-coding RNA is filed under the name Homo sapiens (human). RNAcentral describes it as "non-protein coding LINC01888:7". Lineage: Eukaryota; Metazoa; Chordata; Mammalia; Primates; Hominidae. The record is from RNAcentral.